AUGAAAUAGCACAUACAGGC
RNAcentral lists this unclassified non-coding RNA (20 nucleotides) under Chlamydomonas reinhardtii. RNAcentral describes it as "small RNA Cre_0710". Lineage: Eukaryota; Viridiplantae; Chlorophyta; Chlorophyceae; Chlamydomonadales; Chlamydomonadaceae. The record is from RNAcentral.